GGCACUUUGGCCGAGUGGUCUUAAGGCGCCGUGUUCAGGUCGCGGUCUAGAGAUAGGCGAGGGUUCGAAUCCCUCAGGUGCCA
RNAcentral lists this transfer RNA (83 nucleotides) under Cerataphis brasiliensis yeast-like symbiont. RNAcentral's name for it is "tRNA-Leu (CAG) (tRNA-Leu-CAG-2-1)". It matches the Rfam family "tRNA". Rfam says of the family: Transfer RNA (tRNA) molecules are approximately 80 nucleotides in length. Lineage: Eukaryota; Fungi; Ascomycota. The record is from RNAcentral.